UACGGAGGGUGCGAGCGUUACCCGGAUUUACUGGGUGUAAAGGGCGUGUAGGCGGUCUCUCAAGUCCGAUGCUAAAGACCGAGGCUCAACCUCGGGAGUGCGUUGGAUACUGUGAGGCUAGACGGUCGGAGAGGGCAGCGGAAUUCUCGGAGUAGCGGUGAAAUGCGCAGAUACCGAGAGGAACGCCAAUAGCGAAGGCAGCUGCCUGGACGAUUUGCGACGCUGAGGCGCGGAGGCGUGGGGAGCGAACCGG
Molecule: ribosomal RNA, 253 nt
Filed under: uncultured bacterium
Lineage: Bacteria
Description: partial 16S ribosomal RNA
Rfam family: Bacterial small subunit ribosomal RNA
Source: RNAcentral